RNAcentral lists this long non-coding RNA (873 nucleotides) under Olea europaea subsp. europaea. The record is from RNAcentral. Lineage: Eukaryota; Viridiplantae; Streptophyta; Magnoliopsida; Lamiales; Oleaceae.
CCCAACUCUCAACCCCCUUAUAAAUACCACCGAAAUCCCAUCAAUUGUCACUCACAACCACACGACAAAGGACUUUCCUCCUCCGUCUAAUUCUUGCAACAUCAGUAUCAAAUCCAAACAACAGAGGAGAAUGAAGACUUUUUUACUCACUUUUUUGCUCAUUUUUGCUCUUCUGCUCAGCAACUCAUUUACUGAACCCACCGUGGCCGCAUACUGUAAGUAUUAUUUUUAAUCUUAAUAAACUUUCAAGUCUGAAAAUUACUCGUGUUUGGCCAUGCUUAGAAACUACUUUUAGAUCAUUUUUCACCAAACAGGGGCAAAAUCUUAAGUUUGGUUUUUGUGUAGUUCACUGUUCACACGAGUUUUUGUUUAAUUGUAAAAUUUUAUUUUGACACAUGGUUGGAUAAAUUAAAGUAAAAUAAAGUUAUGUCUUUGUAGAUUACUGUGGACAGAAAUGCAAGGAAAGGUGCGCGAAGGCGGGCGUGGUGGACCGGUGCCUCAAGUACUGUGGAAUAUGCUGUCAAAUAUGCAAGUGCGUUCCUUCUGGGACUUAUGGGAACAAGCACCAGUGCCCUUGCUACAGGGACAUGAGAAACUCCAAGGGCAAGCCCAAAUGCCCUUGAAUAUCUACUUAUUUACUUACCAGCCAUGAAAUUAAAAUUUGUACAACCUUUAGUUUAGAUUAAGGUUUGAUUGUACUAAGACUGAGUUUGGAAUUUCUGAAUAAGAGGACCGUCUGUUUGGUUCCUCUGUAUUCCCAGCAGUGUGUGGAUCCACAUUUUCAUUGAGGGUGACCUUUGUCUUGGAACAAUGUAUGUCUACGUAUCAUCUUUAAUCUCCUUUUAAUUUAAUGAUCAAAUUCAAAUAAUUUUA